RNAcentral lists this ribosomal RNA (368 nucleotides) under uncultured bacterium. RNAcentral's name for it is "bacterial SSU rRNA". It matches the Rfam family "Bacterial small subunit ribosomal RNA", at positions 524 to 898 of the family's 1533-position model. The record is from RNAcentral.
UACGUAGGGGGCGAGCGUUGUCCGGAAUUAUUGGGCGUAAAGGGCGUGUAGGCGGUAGAUUAAGUCAGAUGUGAAAGUUCAGGGCUCAACCCCGAAAUAGCAUUUGAAACUGGUUUACUUGAGUACUGGAGAGGUAAGCGGAAUUCCUAGUGUAGCGGUGAAAUGCGUAGAUAUUAGGAGGAACACCAGUGGCGAAGGCGGCUUACUGGACAGAUACUGACGCUGAGGCGCGAAAGCGUGGGGAGCAAACAGGAUUAGAUACCCUGGUAGUCCACGCUGUAAACGAUGAGUGCUAGGUGUUGGGGAGACUCAGUGCCGCAGUUAACACAAUAAGCACUCCGCCUGGGGAGUACGGUCGCAAGACUGAA